AUUGAACGCUGGCGGCAGGCUUAACACAUGCAAGUCGAGCGAGCGGCGGACGGGUGAGUAAUGUCUGGGAAACUGCCUGAUGGAGGGGGAUAACUACUGGAAACGGUAGCUAAUACCGCAUACCAUCAGAUGUGCCCAGAUGGGAUUGGCUAGUUGGUGGGGUAAGGGCUCACCUAGGCGACGCUCCCUAGCUGGUAUGAGAGGACGACGCGCCAAACUGGAACUGAGACACGGUCCCGACUCCUACGGGGGGCAGCAGUGGGGAAUAUUGCACAAUGGGCGCAAGCCUGAUGCAGCCAUGCCGCGUGUGUGAAGAAGGCCUUCGGGUUGUAAAGCACGUUCAGCGAGGAGGCGUUACUCGCAGAAGAAGCACCGGCUAACUCCGUGCCAGCAGCCGCGGUAAUUC
RNAcentral lists this ribosomal RNA (406 nucleotides) under uncultured bacterium. Its description in RNAcentral is "partial 16S ribosomal RNA". It matches the Rfam family "Bacterial small subunit ribosomal RNA", at positions 30 to 526 of the family's 1533-position model. The record is from RNAcentral.